UUAUAGUUGCGCAGGCACUUUGUUGACUCUAGAGAACCUCAGGUCAAUCGCACAUCCCCGUGAUGGCGACUAUGCAUUUGGAUGUCAUCCAUAUGAACUUUCAAUGCCAGUUUCUGCGCCUACCAGGGUGACCAUAGGUAACGGGGAAUCAGGGUCCCAUUCCGUACAGGAACCCUGAGAAAUGGCUACCACAUACAAGGAAGGCAGCAGGCGCGCAAAUGACCCACUCCCGACGCGGGAAGGUAGUGACGA
Molecule: non-coding RNA, 252 nt
Organism: Pelobates cultripes (western spadefoot toad)
Lineage: Eukaryota; Metazoa; Chordata; Amphibia; Anura; Pelobatidae
Source: the annotation of a GenBank genome assembly